AACUAGCAUAAGAAUCUAGUUACAAAGUUACUCUAAGAAAGUCUCCAUUACAUCAGAGUACAUUCCGGUUUCGGGAUUGCGGUAUUCCUGAGGAUGGUGAUCAAGUGAAGUUGAAGAACCUGAAGAAGUCAUUCUAGCAGGGUUAGAGCUUUGAUCAGGCUUGUGACCCAAGUUCUCCGGGUUGAACAAUAGCUUUGCUUCAUCAGCCCUUCCGGUUAAAGCAUUGAAGAAAGAAAGGCCAUUUGGCCACUUUAUAUCAGAUUCGUGUUCUCCUCCCAUCAUUUCAUCCAUUCGAUUCUCUGCCGAGUGAGGCAUUAAAAACAUGUGGGGUUCGUCUUUUGCAGGGGCGAAUCCAAGAGGUCUCUGGAAAUUGUGAGGUGCUAACAUUGAAGCCGGAGAUAGGGGUCGUGGGCCCCAGUUGAAUAGCGGAGGAGGCCCCAAGGAAGUUCCAGGCUGCUUUGUGGGGAUAGUUGAAGAAGAGGAAGCAUUUCUGGUUGAGGAGAAAAGUUGUGAAAGAUAGAACCCCGAUUGAUAGCCUAAAGAUUCAAAGGUAUGCCUCAUUCGUAGCACGAAGUGCAGGUCUUCCGGUAUCUGAUACACAAAGUUCACACAUUUCAGUAUCAUCAUUCAUGACAGAUGUUUUCCUUUAUACCAAAACAAUAUACUUCACAGUAUUUUAAUUCAAGAAUUUUCAAUUCUGAGGAUUACUUCUUAAUUUCUUAUAUUUGAAUCGUACAUCAUACGGAGUAACAAAUGAUACACCUUGCUGAACCAACUGCACAGGUUUGAGUGCAUAAAAAGCUGCUUUUACUUAAAAGAAGGUAACAAAAUUUUUUAAGCAGUCUUAUCAAAAUAAAGGUGCUUUAUAUUAACUGUGCUAAUCAAGUUCAAAAUAUAUUUAAAGGUAGCUUUAACAAUGUGCCCCAUAAUCAAUUGUCGAACGUACUUUAGUAAUACUGUAAUACUCAAUAUAAUUAAGUGAUUGAACCAAGAAGAUGUACAGGUGGACACGAGAUGAAUUUUCGAUAGAGAUAAAAGAUGAAGAUGAGAUGACUCACAAUCUUGCAGGAGCCUAAUUGAAGAAGACCAUGACCAGCUUGAAUUACAGCAAUCGUCUGUUCAAAAAACCCAGAACGAUACAGUUAGAUAUAGAAGUAGAUUCUUUAAACAGAAGAUUGUAUGCAGGUAAUGCAAACCAGUUUCAACUCGAACCUGAAUACCAGAUUCAAAUUGAUCAGUCCAUUCAGUAGGAAGCUGCAACCAGAAAAAAGAUAGUGAACAAAAAAGGAGGUGCAGGGGACGGACAACGAGAGGAGAAUGGAGUAGCACAUAGUAUAAAUAUAUAAUAACAACACCUACCAAGUACCCACCCUUCUCCAUAAUUAUAUAACUGGAUGGACAUCUUGCUGAAUGACUUCCUGACA
Long non-coding RNA from Spinacia oleracea (spinach), 1424 nucleotides. RefSeq lists it as uncharacterized. The transcript has 3 exons. The record is from RefSeq and is a predicted model, not a curated record. Lineage: Eukaryota; Viridiplantae; Streptophyta; Magnoliopsida; Caryophyllales; Amaranthaceae.